UUUUUGUUAAGUUUUGGUUGUUUAGGCUGUUAAAGUUACUUAAACACUCAAUCUGAUACUCAAUUUUAAGCUUAGAUUUGGUAAAUUUUUACGAUUAACCCCCAGAUCUUACAUGAUUAGUUUGAAUACUGUCUGAACAUUAAAAAGUCAAAGAUUUUUCUGUUUUUAUAGUGUCUGGCUCUGAUAAAUGUUGCAAUAUUUGGUUAAUUUUCAUGAUUCAACCAAACAUCCUAUGUAAUUACUUCAAGGACUGUCUAGAAAUGGAAAAAUCAACAUUUUUUCUGUUUUUAUAGUUUCUGGCUCUGAUAAAUGGUGUAAUUUUGGUGAUUUUGUUACCGAUAACAUGCUGCUAAAACCUACUUGAACCUAGUUAAAAAGUUUCAUGUUUUAUUUACAGAAUCUGGUUACAGCAAACAGUUGAGUUUUGGUGAAUUAAAUUGAUUUUGAUAAUAAUAAUGUCACAAUUUUAAGCUUAGAUUUGGUUAAUUUUCCCAAUGGAACCACACGUCUCACAAAAUUAGUUAAAAUACUGUGUAGAAAUGGGAAAACCAACAUUCUUUUCUGUUUUAACAGUUUCUGGCUCUGAUAAAUGGGAUCAUUUUUUUGUUUGUUUUUUGCAUCCUCCUGGUGGAUUUUCGGGCUCAGACAGUUAAAAAUUUUCAUUUUAUAUUAACAGAAUCUGGUUGAAGCAAACUGUUGAGUUUUAGCAAAUUAAAUAGAUUUUCACAUGAAAAUGUCAUGAUUUUAGGCUUAGAUUUUGUUAAUAUUCCCAGUGGAACCACACGGACAGACUGAACAUUAAAAAUCAGACCAUUUUUUUCUGUUUUUAUAGUUUCUAACUCUGGUAAAUGGGGUCAUUUUUGUGAUUGUUUAAAUUAUUUUUUAACAAUAUCUCGCUUCUCAAAGCUGCUGCUGGGGUUCAGAGGGUUAAAAUGAUUCAUGUUACAUUUCUGUGACUCCUGACUCAACAAAAACAUCAAUAAGAACGUUCAGAUAAACCAGACUUGGCCUUUACCUGCUCCAGAACCUCAUGGUUUUGAUUCUGUGACUCUUCAGGUCAGCGUCGACUCGUAUUGACUUUUCAUUGAGGACAGACUGGAGUCCAAUCAGGCGUCUCUUCCUGUCCGACCCGCUCACUGUUUAUCUUUAUAAAUAAACCGUCACCGAGUUUAACGGGGUUUUUUUUUCUUGCCUUCAUACAUGUCUGCUUGCAUGUUCAUGUGGGAUUUCCCAUCCGCGAGUCUAUUUGUGUCUUUUCUCACCUGCUGAGUAAAGCUGCGUCGCCGGGGGUUACCAGGGCAGGAUGUCCGAGUGGAAACGGACUAUUUUCACAUCCCAUCACGGCUCCUCUGAGUUUAUCCCACCACCGGCACGUAUCUCUGGAUGAGGAGGUUUUACUGGAUGUCGAGGUGAGAAUCGGAAGAAACUUCUAGAAGCUUCGGACGGGUUUUAUUUGGUUCUUUCUGUUGCACAUUUCUCCAAUCCAUGACUUGUGACUCGGUGGAGCUUCGUGUUUCUCUGGUUCAACCCUGGUCUCCUCAGCUGUACGUGAUUCUGGUGUUGCGCUGUCGUGUUCUUCUUUGAUUCAGGGUGGGGGGGGACCCAGAGAUGCUACUGUACGUGGACGACGGGUUCUUAUUCGUUGCUGUUGGGUGGGUUUUCGGGGAGGGUUGCCGCGGCUACGGCGCCGGGCCCCGUGGGAAGUGAAGUUCUCAGUAUAUUUACACGUCUCUUUAAGCCUCUGCUAAAGACUGAUGACUGUUCAUUUAGAGCUCAAUGAAUUUCUAUAAAUAUUUUAGAUUGCUCAAACUGAUUGUGUGCAAUUGUAAUGACGGAAAUUCAAUAAAAAAAAGAGGUAUUUUUACACAAUACGCUCCAUGUGUCGUCUGUUGGGUCUGAGUAUCUCGUGGGAUGAU
Amphiprion ocellaris (clown anemonefish) is the source of this 1916-nucleotide long non-coding RNA. The record is from Ensembl. Lineage: Eukaryota; Metazoa; Chordata; Actinopteri; Pomacentridae.